ACGUAUAGCUAACUUAGUCAACUUCUCUAUUUUGCUUUGAUUUCCUCUUUGUUUAUUCACCGACACCAAAGAAAGAACCAGGUAGCCUACGAAUGCAGUAGGGCUUUAGAUCGGAUGACUGAAGAUAGAAGAUAGAGAAAUAUAAUGAAGAGAGAAGUGUGUGUUUGGCAUCUGCGGAAUGGAAUCUACCUUUGUGCCUUUAGGGGUGUCGGCUAUAUUUGAUCAAAGUCUGCGCUGCGUGCUUAUAGUUGUUGUCAUACUAACUGUGAAAGUGAUCGUUUUAUAGAGAUAUGGGAAUCAUUAUCAUGUGGUUUUAAACUACUCACUACUGCAUAGUGUAAAUGGAAAUAAUUGGCUUUUCCAUAGGCCUACAUAAUGUGGACUAAAGAACGCAAUAAAAUUCCCGUGGUGGGGUGGGUGGUGGUCAGAAGAAUGAUUAGCCAAGCUGACUUCUAUGUCCUGUUUACAUAGAGAGAAAGACAGGGUGAAAGAUCACGUUGAAAUUUCAUGUCGAGGUUCAGUUGCUGUCCAACUCCAGGAAAAGAUAACCAAAGCAUAUGGAUCCGUUCACUGAGGCAACUGCAAGCGCGGCUAUAAAGCAAGUCGCAAAGUAUUUAGGGUGCAAACCGACCUCAUUUAAAGUUGCCAGAUUCCUUGACGACAUCGACGAUUUGCGUCACCUGCGUGAGCAAUUUCUCAUUCCUAAAGUGUCACAAUUACCGCCGUCUGACCCCUCUCUGGUUGACGGCGCGGAGGAGUGCCUCUACUUUGUGGGAAACUCAUUAGGGCUGCAGCCAAAACUGGCCAGACAGUACCUGGAGGAAGAGCUAGAGAAAUGGGCACAGAUGGGUGUGCACGGUCACACGGAGGGCUCUCGUCCUUGGGCCUGGGCAGAGAACAACAUCGAACAGCUCAUGGCUAAUGUCGUAGGUGCUAAGCGAGAUGAAGUAGCCCUCAUGAAUGGCUUGACGGUCAACCUUCAUCUUUUACUGCUUUCCUUUUACAAACCUACAACGGAACGACACAAAAUCCUUUUAGAGGACAAGGCCUUUCCCUCUGACCAUUAUGCGGUGGAAUCUCAAAUCUCCCUGCGAGGUUUCGACCCUGAGAAAAGCAUGUUGCUGAUGUCACCUAGAGAGGGUGAGCACACAUUGAGGACAAAGGACAUCCUGAGCAUGAUUGAAAAGGAGGGCGAUUCGAUUGCCGUUAUUCUCUUCAGCGGAGUGCAGUAUUACACCGGACAGCUCUUUGACAUGGCUGCCAUCACCAAGGCCGGCCAGGCCAAGGGCUGUUACGUGGGCUUCGACUGCGCACACGCGGCGGGGAAUGUGGACCUGCGCCUACACGACUGGGGAGUGGACUUCGCCUGCUGGUGCAGCUACAAGUAUGUGAACUCUGGAGCAGGAGGGUUGGCAGGUGCUUAUAUCCAUGAGAGACAUGCCCACACAAUCAAACCAGCAUUGACAGGGUGGUGGGGACAUAAUUUAAAGACACGAUUCCAAAUGGAUAACCAAAUGGAUCUAAUACCUGGAAUUGGUGGAUUCAGAUUGUCAAAUCAGCCUAUUCUUCUGGUGUGUCCACUACAAGCGAGCUUGGAGGUGUUUAAUAUGACCAAUAUGAAGGCCUUGAGGAGGAAAUCCCGCCUGUUGACCGGUUACCUGGAGUACCUGAUUAAGCACUACUACACCAAACAUGAGGCCCACCCAGAGAAGCCCUACGUGGACAUCAUCACCCCAUCCAACCCCGAGGAGAGGGGAUGCCAGCUGUCCCUCUCUUUCUCUGUCCCGAUACGUGCCAUGUUCAAAGAGCUGGAGAAGAGGGGUGUAGCAUGUGACAUGAGGGAACCCAAUGUUUUGCGGAUUGCCCCAACCCCUCUCUACAACUCCUUCUCCGACUGCCACCGACUCAUCUCCACUCUGGGAGCAGCACUGCAGGCUAGCAACGAGCUCCAGCAGGCCAGCAAUGAGCUUAGCCAGUGAUACCUACAGCAUCUAACAGCCCUCCUCCAAGUACACAGCAGUGAGUACAUUUCUACUUGGCUCACCGGCCUGGCUACAUGACUGCUGGCGUUGGGGAGAGUCGAGUCCUGCAGCAGGAAAUGCCAGAUAUGUCAGAGAGAUGGAGAGUCCAUGUUGCCCCAGUGACAGAGAGGUCAAGAGCCCUGAUGCUCGUAAUAGGCUGUGGAGUCGAAACUUGGCCAGAAAGAGACUUCAGUUGCCUCAUCUCUCUGCAUUAUAUGAAUCUGUUCUGAUUUAGUAGCGAUACACAGAGAGUUUCUACUGUACUGGAACAGAUUCAGAGGGUUCCUGUUGGAGGAAGGCUACACACCACUCUAAAUCAAUUGUUUUGUCAGUAAACUAAUAUCUGCCUUCAAGUAGAGGUGUGGCAUUGGUUUUGGUGCAGCAAUCAAAAUUGGAGGAGACGUGAAUAUUUUAAUUGUAAAAAUUAUAUAAUUGCCGAAACAUUAUCAAAAGUGAUUUUACAUGUUAAAAAUGCUCAUCGUUCAAAAUAAUUUACUAGAGCUGUGUUAUUCAAUUCUAGUGUACAGUAUGUAUUAGCCUAUGCGAAUAACUGUGAAAUGUGAAAUAUCUACCUUUUCUGGAAUCUCAAGAAAUGAAAACAAUGAUAUUGAGGUUCUUGACCCUCUAUAUGGUCAUACCAUAAUUAAAUGAAAUCCAAAAACAGUCCUUAAUCCAA
Alosa alosa (allis shad) is the source of this 2697-nucleotide RNA transcript. It is a transcript of the gene named kynureninase, with no coding region annotated. The record is from RefSeq and is a predicted model, not a curated record. The transcript has 16 exons. Lineage: Eukaryota; Metazoa; Chordata; Actinopteri; Clupeiformes; Clupeidae.